UACGUAGGGGGCAAGCGUUGUCCGGAUUUAUUGGGCGUAAAGAGCGUGUAGGCGGUUUGGUAGGUCCGCUGUGAAAACUCGAGGCUCAACCUCGAGACGCCGGUGGAAACCAUCAGGCUAGAGUCCGGAAGAGGAGAGUGGAAUUCCCUGGUGUAGCGGUGAGAUGCGCAGAUAUCAGGAAGAACACCCGUGGCUAAGGCGGCUCUCUAGUACGGUACUGACGCUGAGACGCGAAAGCGUGGGGAGCGAACAGG
This 254-nucleotide ribosomal RNA is filed under the name uncultured bacterium. Its description in RNAcentral is "partial 16S ribosomal RNA". It matches the Rfam family "Bacterial small subunit ribosomal RNA", at positions 524 to 776 of the family's 1533-position model. The record is from RNAcentral.